GGGUUUGGUAAUACUGUGGGUUUGGUAAUACUGUGGGUUUGGAGUACUGUUGGUUUGGUAAUACUGUGGGUUUGGUAAUACUGUGGGUUUGGUAAUACUGUGGGUUUGGAGUACUGUUGGUUUGGUAAUACUGUGGGUUUGGUAAUACUGUGGGUUUGGUAAUACUGUGGGUUUGGAGUACUGUUGGUUUGGUAAUACUGUGGGUUUGGUAAUACUGUGGGUUUGGUAAUACUGUGGGUUUGGAGUACUGUUGGUUUGGUAAUACUGUGGGUUUGGUAAUACUGUGGGUUUGGUAAUACUGUGGGUUUGGUAAUACUGUGGGUUUGGUAAUACUGAAGGUUUGGUAAUACUGUGGGUUUGGUAAUACUGAGGGUUUGGUAAUACUGUGGGUUUGGUAAUACUGUGGGUUUGGUAAUACUGUGGGUUUGGUAAUACUGAGGGUUUGGUAAUACUGUGGGUUUGGUAAUACUGUGGGUUUGGUAAUACUGAGGGUUUGGUAAUACUGAGGGUUUGGUAAUACUGAGGGUUUGGUAAUACUGUGGGUUUGGUAAUACUGAGGGUUUGGUAAUACUGUGGGUUUGGUAAUACUGUGGGUUUGGUAAUACUGUGGGUUUGGUAAUACUGAGGGUUUGGUAAUACUGUGGGUUUGGUAAUACUGUGGGUUUGGUAAUACUGAGGGUUUGGUAAUACUGAGGGUUUGGUAAUACUGUGGGUUUGGUAAUACUGUGGGUUUGGUAAUACUGUGGGUUUGGUAAUACUGUGGGUUUGGUAAUACUGUGGGUUUGGUAAUACUGUGGGUUUGGUAAUACUGUGGGUUUGGUAAUACUGAGGGUUUGGUAAUACUGUGGGUUUGGCAGGAGAAGACAAAACAAAGCAAGAAAGAAAAGAAGAGAAGAAGUAAAGAGUGUGUGUUGGAUUUUGAUGUUUUAUUUGAUAUAUUUAUUCAUUUUCUUGCAUGUCUCAUGGAUGGAAGGAAGGGAAAGAGGGACACGUUUUUCUGUCACCAGCAGAGUUGAGUGAAGUAGAGUCAUUAUAUAUUGUUGUAUAAUGGGCACAACACUUUGUGUGUAUUCCAAUCCUUGUCAGUGCACUGCCAGAGUUGCCCCAUUCCAUUUGAGAGCUGGCUCUAAUUCUGGUUAUUGCAUUGAGGACCACACAAGCAGUUUUGAAAUAUGAUAACAGGUUAUGUAUAUAUAACCUGAAAUGACUGCAGAUACCUAUCUGACUCCCAAACAGCCCAAAGUUAGUUACAAUUAUGCGUAUUGUUUUAAAACCUUGAAUUCCUAUUUUAUUUACUCCUAAAAUGCUCCUAUAACAAGAGUUUAUAUUCACUGUUCACGUGUAGAGACAAAACUAUUUGGGAUAAAACUGAUGACAUGUUAUAUCUCAUAAAACACACUGGCAGACACUUAAAAAAUAAAUAAUUUUAAAUAUGCAGAAAGCGUUUAUAUUUUGUAUAUCACUGUAAUUAUCAACCGUUUGUGUUUUUUCCUCACUCCAAAUUGUGCAAUUUACUGAGAUUUAUGUGUUAAUAAAAACCAAUGCAAUAAAACUAUUGGCAACAUUA
Long non-coding RNA from Oncorhynchus keta (chum salmon), 1567 nucleotides. RefSeq lists it as uncharacterized. The record is from RefSeq and is a predicted model, not a curated record. The transcript has 2 exons. NCBI's taxonomy places the organism in Eukaryota, Metazoa, Chordata, Actinopteri, Salmoniformes, Salmonidae.